This 468-nucleotide ribosomal RNA is filed under the name uncultured bacterium. RNAcentral's name for it is "partial 16S ribosomal RNA". It matches the Rfam family "Bacterial small subunit ribosomal RNA", at positions 28 to 507 of the family's 1533-position model. The record is from RNAcentral.
GACGAACGCUGGCGGCGUGCUUAACACAUGCAAGUCGAACGGAAAGGCCCUGCUUUUGUGGGUUGCUCGAGUGGCGAACGGGUGAGUAACACGUGAGUAACCUGCCCUUGACUGUGGGAUAACUUCAGGAAACUGGGGCUAAUACAGGGUAGGAGCUCCUGCUGCAUGGGGGGGGUUGGAAAGUUUCGGCGGUUGGGGCUGGACUCGCUGCUUAUCAGCUUGUUGGUGGGGUAGUGGCUUACAAAGGCUUUGACGGAUAGCCGGCAUGAGAGGGUGAACAGCCACAAUAGGCCUGCGAUACGGCGCAGACUCCAACGGGCCGCAGCAGUGGGGAACCUUACGCAGUGAGCGCGAGCCUGAUACAGCGACGCCGCGUGCGUGAUGCCCGGCUUCGGGUUAUAAACAGAUUUCGAAGGAGACGAAGCGGGCGUGACGGUAAUGGAUAAAAAAGCACCGGCUAACUACGUG